This 492-nucleotide ribosomal RNA is filed under the name uncultured bacterium. RNAcentral's name for it is "partial 16S ribosomal RNA". It matches the Rfam family "Bacterial small subunit ribosomal RNA", at positions 29 to 507 of the family's 1533-position model. The record is from RNAcentral.
AGUGAACGCUGGCGGUAGGCCUAACACAUGCAAGUCGAACGGCAGCACAGUAAGAGCUUGCUCUUACGGGUGGCGAGUGGCGGACGGGUGAGGAAUACAUCGGAAUCUACUUUUUCGUGGGGGAUAACGUAGGGAAACUUACGCUAAUACCGCAUACGACCUACGGGUGAAAGCAGGGGAUCUUCGGACCUUGCGCGAUUGAAUGAGCCGAUGUCGGAUUAGCUAGUUGGCGGGGUAAAGGCCCACCAAGGCGACGAUCCGUAGCUGGUCGGAGAGGAUGAUCGGCCACACUGGAACUGAGACACGGUCCAGACUCCUACGGGAGGCAGCAGUGGGGAAUAUUGGACAAUGGGCGCAAGCCUGGUCCAGCCAUACCGCGUGGGUGAAGGAGGCGUUCGGGUUGUAAAGCCCUUUUGUUGGGAAAGAAAAGCAGCAGGUUAAUACCCCGCUGUUCUGACGGUACCCAAAGAAUAAGCACCGGCUAACUUCGUG